RNAcentral lists this ribosomal RNA (539 nucleotides) under Anthracocystis elionuri. RNAcentral describes it as "LSU rRNA". It matches the Rfam family "Eukaryotic large subunit ribosomal RNA", at positions 129 to 649 of the family's 3401-position model. Lineage: Eukaryota; Fungi; Basidiomycota; Ustilaginomycetes; Ustilaginales; Ustilaginaceae. The record is from RNAcentral.
CUUCGGCGUCCGCAUUGUAAUCUCAAGAAGUGUUUUCCGCUUCGGACCAUGCCUAAGUCCCUUGGAAAAGGGCAUCAUAGAGGGUGAUAAUCCCGUACAUGGCAUGGAGCGCCCGAGGCUUUGUGAUACGCUUUCUAAGAGUCGAGUUGUUUGGGAAUGCAGCUCAAAAUGGGUGGUAAAUGCCAUCUAAGGCUAAAUAUUGGGGAGAGACCGAUAGCGAACAAGUACAGUGAUGGAAAGAUGAAAAGAACUUUGAAAAGAGAGUUAAACAGUACGUGAAAUUGCCAAAAGGGAAGGGUAGGAGGUCAGAGAUGCGUCUUGGGAUUCAGCCUUGCUUUUGCUUGGUGUUUUUCCCAAGUUGCAGGCCAACGUCGGUUUUGGGCACUGGAGAAGGGUGGAAGGAACGUGGCACCUCUCGGGGUGUGUUAUAGCCUUCUACUGGAUACAGCGACCGAGACCGAGGACAGCAGCGUACUCGCAAGAGCGGGCCUUCGGGCACCUUUACGCUUAGGGCGUUGGCAUAAUGGCCCUCUACCACC